ACCUUCAAACACAACCUCCUAUAAUCACAACAACAUCAUCAACCAUGGCAAGUUAUCAGAAGCAGUACGAGGAUCAGGGUCGCAAGAUCGACGAGUAUGGAAACGUCGUAAGGGAAACUGAUGAAUAUGGCAACCCGGUUCAGGCUGCCAGUGUCACCUAUAUAACCUCCUCCACCGGCGGUGUUAGGGAUGACAAUAGCAAGCAACAUGAUACCAGUAAUGUCUACGGAUCAGACACCCGUAAACAACAUGGAACUAUAGGUGAUACCGGUAGACAGCAAGGACCAACCGCUGGCUUUACUGCUGACACUGGUAGACAACAUGGAACUACCGGUGGUUUUACUGGUGACACCCAUAGACAAUAUGGCACUACCGGUGGUUUGACCGGUGACACCGGGAGACAACAUGGGACUACCGGUGGUUUUACUGGUGACACCCGGAGACAACAUGACACCGGGAGACAACAUGGGACUACCGGUGGUUUUGCUGGUGAUACCGGGAGACAACAUGGGAAUACCGGCGGCUUCACUGCUGACACUGGUCUGGGAGGCCCUUACGUUGGAGCCAACACCGCUGACACAGGGACUGGUCCUAGAAGUGGAACCACAGGUGGCAGCGGCUAUGGAUCGGGUGGUGGCGCAGGUGGUGGUUAUGGAAGUGGAACUGGGCAUGGUAUCAACACUGGGGGAGCACACAGAGAUGAUGGGUAUGGAAGGGAGUAUCGUGAGCAUGACCAGUCUCGUGGAGAUCAGGACAAGAAAGGGAUAAUAGACAAGAUUAAAGAGAAGCUUCCCGGAGUACACAGUGACAACAGCAAGUAGAAACAUAUGUGUGUGUUUGCAUGCAUGUAUACUACAUAGUAUAAACAUGUUAUAUUGUUGUGUUUUUGAAUAAGUUUGCUGCAUAUAUACGUACUCGUACAGUACUGUCUUGUCGUGUAAAUGUGGUGGAUCUUGUAUAUGGUUAAAGUGUAUGCAAGAGGAAUAAAAUGUGCAUGCAUGCAAGGGAAAGAAGGCAUAGAUGUUCUGUUCUGCCAAUGCAUAUGUAAAACCUACCCUGUUGUAUAGCAGGGUGCUUCAGUUGUGUGUUUUAAAUUUUCCAAUGAAGCAACUUUUUAUUUCUUUCUUUCUUGAUCAUUUAAAUUUUAUGUGACCAGCUAUUUUCUGUUAUCACCUUCCUUAAUAUCUUUUUAACAUGCAUAAGAGAAAAAUUGUUAGAAAGAAUCACUGG
Molecule: long non-coding RNA, 1230 nt
Filed under: Vigna radiata
Lineage: Eukaryota; Viridiplantae; Streptophyta; Magnoliopsida; Fabales; Fabaceae
Description: long non-coding RNA (VRAD_LNC000187)
Source: RNAcentral